GAGGGGAUAGCUCAAAUGAUAAAGCACAUGCUUAGCAUGCAUGAGGUCCUGGGUUCAAUCCCCAGUACCUCUU
This is a non-coding RNA of Camelus ferus (Wild Bactrian camel), 73 nucleotides long. NCBI's taxonomy places the organism in Eukaryota, Metazoa, Chordata, Mammalia, Artiodactyla, Camelidae. The record is from Rfam.